This 381-nucleotide ribosomal RNA is filed under the name uncultured bacterium. RNAcentral's name for it is "bacterial SSU rRNA". It matches the Rfam family "Bacterial small subunit ribosomal RNA", at positions 963 to 1344 of the family's 1533-position model. The record is from RNAcentral.
GAAGAACCUUACCUACUCUUGACAUCCAGGGAACAUGGCAGAGAUGCCUUGGUGCCUCCGGGAACUCUGAGACAGGUGCUGCAUGGCUGUCGUCAGCUCGUGUUGUGAAAUGUUGGGUUAAGUCCCGCAACGAGCGCAACCCUUAUCCUUUGUUACCAGCGAUUCGGUCGGGAACUCAAAGGAGACUGCCGGUGAUAAACCGGAGGAAGGUGGGGAUGACGUCAAGUCAUCAUGGCCCUUACGACCAGGGCUACACACGUGCUACAAUGGCGCAUACAAAGAAAAGCGAUCUCGCGAGAGCAAGCGGACCUCAUAAACUGCGUCUUAGUCCGGAUUGGAGUCUGCAACUCGACUCCAUGAAGUCGGAAUCGCUAGUAAUCG